GGAUGCGAUCAUACCAGCACUAAAGCACCGGAUCCCAUCAGAACUCCGAAGUUAAGCGUGCUUGGGUGAGAGUAGUACUAGGAUGGGUGACCUCAUGUUGCAUUCC
Molecule: ribosomal RNA, 106 nt
Filed under: Triticum aestivum (bread wheat)
Lineage: Eukaryota; Viridiplantae; Streptophyta; Magnoliopsida; Poales; Poaceae
Source: RNAcentral